RNAcentral lists this ribosomal RNA (301 nucleotides) under uncultured bacterium. RNAcentral describes it as "partial 16S ribosomal RNA". It matches the Rfam family "Archaeal small subunit ribosomal RNA", at positions 459 to 759 of the family's 1478-position model. The record is from RNAcentral.
CAGUCGCCGCGGUAAAACCAGCAGCCCAAGUGGUGGUCGCGUUUAUUGGGCCUAAAGCGCUCGUAGCCUGGCCGGUAAGUUCCCCGUGAAAUCGGGUCGCCCAACGAUUCGGCUUGCGGGGAAUACUGUCGGUCUUGGGGCCGGGAGACGCCGAGGGUACUCCGGGGGUAGCGGUGAAAUGCUGUAAUCCUCGGGGGACUACCAGUGGCGAAGGCGCUCGGCGAUAACGGGCCUGACGGUGAGGGGCGAAAGCUGGGGGCGCGAACGGGAUUAGAUACCCCAGUAGUCCCUGUCUCUUAUU